This 524-nucleotide ribosomal RNA is filed under the name uncultured bacterium. Its description in RNAcentral is "partial 16S ribosomal RNA". It matches the Rfam family "Bacterial small subunit ribosomal RNA", at positions 28 to 523 of the family's 1533-position model. The record is from RNAcentral.
GACGAACGCUGGCGGCGUGCCUAAUACAUGCAAGUCGAACGAAGCUGUUUUAACUGGUGCUUGCACCGACUUAAACAACUGAGUGGCGAACGGGUGAGUAACACGUGGGUAACCUGCCCCAAAACGGGGGAUAACAUUUGGAAACAGAUGCUAAUACCGCAUAAUCACAGAAACCACAUGGUUUCUGUGUCCAAGAUGGUUUCGGCUAUCACUUUGGGAUGGACCCGCGGCGUAUUAGCUAGUUGGUAAGGUAAUGGCUUACCAAGGCAAUGAUACGUAGCCGAACUGAGAGGUUGAUCGGCCACAUUGGGACUGAGACACGGCCCAAACUCCUACGGGGGGCAGCAGUAGGGAAUCUUCCACAAUGGACGAAAGUCUGAUGGAGCAACGCCGCGUGAGUGAAGAAGGUUUUCGGAUCGUAAAACUCUGUUGUCAGAGAAGAACGUGUGCGAGAGUAACUGUUCGUGCAGUGACGGUAUCUGGCCAGAAAGCCACGGCUAACUACGUGCCAGCAGCCGCGGUAA